RNAcentral lists this ribosomal RNA (445 nucleotides) under uncultured bacterium. Its description in RNAcentral is "partial 16S ribosomal RNA". It matches the Rfam family "Bacterial small subunit ribosomal RNA", at positions 354 to 796 of the family's 1533-position model. The record is from RNAcentral.
GUGAGGAAUAUUGGUCAAUGGGCGAGAGCCUGAACCAGCCAAGUCGCGUGAAGGAAGAAGGAUCUAUGGUUCGUAAACUUCUUUUGCAGGGGAUUAAAGUGCAGGACGUGUCCUGUUUUGUUUGUACCCUGAGAAUAAGGAUCGGCUAACUCCGUGCCAGCAGCCGCGGUAAUACGGAGGAUCCGAGCGUUAUCCGGAUUUAUUGGGUUUAAAGGGUGCGUAGGUGGUUUGAUAAGUCAGCGGUGAAAGUUUGCAGCUUAACUGUCAAAAUGCCGUUGGAACUGUCGGACUUGAGUGUAAAUGAGGUAGGCGGAAUGCGUGGUGUAGCGGUGAAAUGCAUAGAUAUCACGCAGAACUCCGAUUGCGAAGGCAGCUUACUAAGCUACAACUGACACUGAAGCACGAAAGCGUGGGGAUCAAACAGGAUUAGAAACACCAGUAGUCC